This 1672-nucleotide long non-coding RNA is filed under the name Homo sapiens (human). RNAcentral describes it as "HSALNT0314300". The record is from RNAcentral. Lineage: Eukaryota; Metazoa; Chordata; Mammalia; Primates; Hominidae.
GGCCCGGGAGGUGGGGCCGGUUAGGGCGAGGGUCCCCGGGAUCGUAGUGUCAGGCCUUGGGCCAACGUAGGCACUCGCAGUUCCUCCGCCUUCAGGAAGGUCUUUUUGGCAGGGGCCUUACGGGUGCGCGCUUCGGUCCUGGAGGCGUUAUCCUAGCCUCCUCUCCAUCAGCGCCACCCGUCUGGGGCCCGAUAGGAGGGAGCUUUCUGUCUGUCCCCCAGCCUUUGGACUGUCACCAAACAAGCCAUCCGUUCACCAAAUACUUAUUAAGCGCCUACCAUGUGUCUGGCAAGGGAGGUGUAACAGUGAGAAAAACUAGGUGUGGUCCAGGCCCUCCAGGGGCUCAGGGGCUCGUGGAAGAAGUGGACAUUGAAGUACUUACCACACAAAUGAGCAUGAAAGUACAAUAGCAAUAUCUGCCACGAAGGCGAGCAGACAGAGCUAGCAGGGCUUCCAGGAGGAGUUUUGAUCUUGCAGGGACAGGAAGGAGGAGUUAGCUCCUGGGGGGCGGGAUUGGGGGUGGUGGUGAUAUAGACGUGGGGACAGAGUGGAAAACAACAAAAAUAUAAUUAUUUUAGUUCAAAGUUAUUGUGUCUUGAGUUGAAAGGCAGGGCAGUUAGCGACACGGUUCAGAUUUCAGUACUGCCCCUGAAAUCUGAAUUGUGUUCAAAGUCUAAAACGUUUACCUUAGCAAAUCCCUCAUAAAACUCCAUUUGGAAGAGUCCCGAGAGCUAAUUUGUUAAGUAUACUUGCAGAAGGUAGAUGAGGAGACAGAUUAAAUCUUAUUACCUCUUUCAGAUGAGAGGCACUUGAGCCCUGCUCAGCCGUGAGAAUAAGAGGGGGAAUUAAUUCUAAUUGAAUACACUUGUUCUCUCACAGCUGUUGUUCCCCACCAGAACCAAAUGAGCGCAAGAUCUGACAAAGAAAAAAAAAGGUUCAUCUUUUAUUCCGCCAAACACUUUCAUCUAAAUCAAGAGGGUGGGAUGUGGUUAUUGCUGUGUUUUUAGACAGAAUCAACAGUUUCUGGGUCUGAGAUAUUGCAUACACCCUCUCAGUCCCUGUAUCCUCAGAUGGAGUCACCUGAGAAUCCACAGCAAGUCCUAACCGGGGAUGGGUCUGGGUGGUUAAGGAAGGUUGGCCUCAGAACUGGGCCAGGGGCACUGCUUUGCUUUUGCUGUUUUGAUCAGCUCUCUGCCCGCAGGAGACAAGGAAAACCAAUGGGAACAGUAACAAACAGAACCGCAAGAGCUCCUGUGACAAUGCUGAGCCUGAUCACUGCGCCUUGCAGAGCAGAUGCCCUCUGCACCUCCGCUCCUGUUAAGAAACCAGAGGGUUUUUAAUUGUCUGUUCCCAUCUAGCCGCUACCCAGUAAAGGCGCCAUUCCCCAUUUUACAGCUGGGGAAACUGAGUUACAGAGCUUGUCUACACUGAGUCAACAGGAGCAAAUGCUAGAUCAGGUAAUUGAACCCAAGCAAUCCGGUUCCAGAGCCAAAUAGAUGUAUUUUUUUAUGGUAUAAAUACACAUACAUACAUUUUUAGGGGAAGGGUGGGGGUAGGAUGGGAUGAGGAUUCUGGGUAAUUGCUUGGUAAAUGCCAAAAACCUUUCUUGUCUCUCCCUCUUUUCAAAUGAUAAAGAAAUGUCAAUUGCAACACUUUUUUUUUUUUUUUUUGA